AACGAACGCUGGCGGCAUGCCUAACACAUGCAAGUCGAGCGAGACCUUCGGGUCUAGUGGCGCACGGGUGCGUAACGCGUGGGAAUCUGCCCUUGGGUUCGGAAUAACAGUUAGAAAUGACUGCUAAUACCGGAUGAUGACGUAGGUCCAAAGAUUUAUCGCCCAAGGAUGAGCCCGCGUAAGAUUAGCUUGUUGGUGGAGUAAUGGCCUACCAAGGCGACGAUCUUUAGCUGGUCUGAGAGGAUGAUCAGCCACACUGGGACUGAGACACGGCCCAGACUCCUACGGGAGGCAGCAGUGGGGAAUAUUGGACAAUGGGCGAAAGCCUGAUCCAGCAAUGCCGCGUGAGUGAUGAAGGCCUUAGGGUUGUAAAGCUCUUUUACCAGGGAUGAUAAUGACAGUACCUGGAGAAUAAGCUCCGGCUAACUCCGUGCCAGCCGCCGCUGUAA
This 449-nucleotide ribosomal RNA is filed under the name uncultured bacterium. Its description in RNAcentral is "partial 16S ribosomal RNA". It matches the Rfam family "Bacterial small subunit ribosomal RNA", at positions 29 to 523 of the family's 1533-position model. The record is from RNAcentral.